This 78-nucleotide small RNA is filed under the name Flavobacterium sp. 123. Its description in RNAcentral is "Flavo-1 RNA". It matches the Rfam family "Flavo-1 RNA". The record is from Rfam by way of RNAcentral. Lineage: Bacteria; Pseudomonadati; Bacteroidota; Flavobacteriia; Flavobacteriales; Flavobacteriaceae.
UUCUAGCCCAGAUAGCAGCAGCAUCCUUUUACAGGUUUUUUUUACCUGGAAAAGAUAAAGCGGAUAGCUGGAAUUAGC